AGCAGCCGCGGUAAUUCCAGCUCCAAUAGCGUAUAUUAAAGUUGUUGCAGUUAAAAGCUCGUAGUUGAAUUUCGGGACCAAUUUUGUUGGUCGUGCCUCGGUACGUACUGGUAUUAUUGGUUUCUCCCUUCUGAAGAAUCUCGAUGCCAUUAAUUUGGUGUCGUGGGGAAUCAGGACUGUUACUUUGAAAAAUUGAGUGUUUAAAGCAAGCAUACGCUUGAAUACAUUAGCAUGGAAUAAUGAAAUAGGACGUUUGAUUCUAUUUUGUUGGUUUUAGGAUCGACGUAAUGAUUAAUAGGGAUAGUUGGGGGCAUUAGUAUUCAAUUGUCAGAGGUGAAAUUCUUGGAUUUAUUGAAGACUAACUACUGCGAAAGCAUUUGCCAAGGAUGUUUUCAUUAAUCAAGAACGAAAGUUAGGGAUCGAAGACGAUCAGAUACCGUCGUAGUCUUA
RNAcentral lists this ribosomal RNA (450 nucleotides) under uncultured Glomeromycotina. RNAcentral's name for it is "SSU rRNA". It matches the Rfam family "Eukaryotic small subunit ribosomal RNA", at positions 569 to 1028 of the family's 1831-position model. Lineage: Eukaryota; Fungi; Glomeromycota. The record is from RNAcentral.